Molecule: long non-coding RNA, 184 nt
Organism: Musa acuminata AAA Group (dessert banana)
Lineage: Eukaryota; Viridiplantae; Streptophyta; Magnoliopsida; Zingiberales; Musaceae
Exons: 2
Source: RefSeq, a predicted model, not a curated record
ACGACGGCAGCAGUGUCGCGGCGAUGACGGGAGGACACGUGGAGAUCAUCGAUCGAAGGUUCGAUGAAACCCAUGCACUGCUACUACUACAUCUCGUUUCGCUGCAGUGGCGCGAGCUGCUUUGGACGUAGCUGAAUGCUGCUGCAUUUCCCGUUUAAAUGCAAGGACUGGUUUUUCUUUCUAA